Long non-coding RNA from Astatotilapia calliptera (eastern happy), 4628 nucleotides. The record is from Ensembl. NCBI's taxonomy places the organism in Eukaryota, Metazoa, Chordata, Actinopteri, Cichliformes, Cichlidae.
GAAAUCCACUCUUUUGAUGGAGUUUUUGGCCAAUGACUGACAAAGGGUCUUGUGGAUUGCAAGGAAAGCUUGUGCUGAUUGGUGGGCUGGUAUGACGUAAACUUUACCACCCAAAAAAAUUGGUAAAGUUUAUUUUAAAAAAAACAAAACAAAAACAUGUUCCCUGAACAUGUUUCCUGUUUCCUUUUCAUUUAUAUCCAGAGUCCUUAUCACUUUAUAUUCCAUGACUUUAAAAACAGGACUUGAUGACAUUUUAUGUGUUCUGUUCAGACCAAAAAAGAAAAAAGAAAAAAAAAAAGAGAAAAUAUAAUCAGAAUUUUAAUGUGAAAACUUGUAAUAAGAAGGGAGAAGCAGAGAUGCACUGGACAGCUGGACAACUCGCUGGUCUCUUGCAGCAUCCUUUUGUUCCUGAUUGUAUUCCAUUAUAUCACAGAAUUAGUUUUAACUUAUUUUUAAACUAUUUCAAGCUUUACCUCAUUGUAAACAAUGACAAGUUGAGAAUGGCCCCCCGUUGUCUCUUCUGUUUCACUCAAACCUGUCCAGUGUAUCGCCUCUUAACAGUUACUGUAGAGUAUGAACCCUCACUACAAGUUUGGUUUUUUUUUAAUUUUUUUAUAGGCAUUCCUCUGUUAUGUUGGUUUACCUGUCCUCAUGAUUAUUUUUUUUUGUAAUUCCUUUUCGUCCUCAUGUUAUGGUCUGUGAAAUGUUUGAUUAUUAUAGGGAUGCAGCUACAGUUACACAAACAUCACUACCGUUUUAAGGUACCUGCGUCUUGGGCUCCCAGACUUGUUACUUAUGUUGGAUGUUGGUGUCUUGUUGUUAGGCAGUUGCUGUUUAGUGAUUGCAUGGUACAUCUGAAUUUUUCACACUCCUCGAUCCCCACCCACCCAUUCCUAGAUCCACAAACGUGUUAUUUAUCGCCUGAUACAUUGUUGCUUGUGACCUCUUCUAGCCGAAGAGGGAGUCCACAAUGCAUUGCCUUCAAACGUUGUUGUACUCGCAGCCCUUACUGCAGUACAGUGUAAUGUCUGUAAUGCAAAAGGUGUUUUGUACUACACGAUCUCUAGCCAUCUCUGCAAAGGUUUUUGCAGCUGCAUUUGAAUGCUUGCUUGUUCGACGUAACGAAGAAAAAAAAAAAGGAAAAAAAAAACAUACUACGAACUCCAAACUGUGACCAUGCUACUAUUACUACUAUUAUUACUACUAUUACUACUACUAUUCAAAUACUUCAGGGAUUGUUCUGCAUCUGUGAAUGCAGACUCUCAGCUACAUUUGUAAAAUAUAGCAUUGUAUCAAUUUCUCUGUAUUUUGAUCAUGGGAAAAGCAAAACACUAGUUUCAUAUUUAAGACAAACAGGGGGCUACUUUUUUUCAACUAACACAAAAAGCCUUGACAAAGGUGAGGCAGCUCAAAACAAGUCUACGUUUUAGUUAGUAACACACUAUGUUCAGAAAUAGUUGCAACGUUGUACAAAGAACUAAGAAGAAAAGGAGAGAAAAAAAAAAGCUCAUACCCAAAUCCACAAACUAUUUUUUAAACCAAAGCACAUUUGAAUGAUUAUGGAACCAUGUGUGGCUCUAAAAAGAAACAUAUGUAUUUAUCUCAUUGUUUACAUAAACUUUUACAGUUUUACAGACCUCAGUCGAGGCUCGGCCAGUUAGGGAGAUGGUUUUGUGUGCGUUAUCAUUUUUUCUUUUCUUUUUUUUUGUGAAAGAUGCUUUUCCACAGAGGUUGCUGCCAAAACAAAAGCAUAGCGUUAAACAUGGAGUGAACUACUGCAUAUUCAAUUAAGGGGAGGGUGUGUGGUUUUAGGGGCACUCCCCACCCCUCCCCUCCCUGCCAGCUGGCUUUGGGAUGACCCUGCGCCCCAAUCCUCCUGCCCUCUGGCCUGUCUUCAGAUGGGACCACAGAAAGUGUGUUUGGGGGGGGGGGGGCUGUGCAUCCUUGACGUAUUAAUCAAAAGGCAUUGUUAGUCAGGGUCUUUAGCUCAAUGUUUGUCUCUUUGUUUACCCAAAUACACUCGAGGAAUACCUCUGCUGCUUGGGUCUCUUAAUAUGUAGGUGUGGGUGAAUGAUGCUUGAAUAUUUUGGGUUGUUUUCGUAGUCCGACGUGGUACAUCUCUUAUGCUGGCGGUUCUUGAAACCUAUCUGGAGAAUGUAGCUUUGAUUUGUUCACUGCAUGUAAACAAGCCUAUCUGGUAGUCUUAACUGUGAAUGUUAUUGUCAGUUUUCUGCUUUUAUGAUGUUGUUUUGAAACUUUUUUUUAAAGCUGCCUGUGUUCUGUGGGUAAAAGCAGCACAAAACUCUGGCUGGCUGAGCCUCAAAGAAAGUUGGUGCAAACACUUAUUGACAGUGUUCUUUUUUUUUUUUUUUUUUUUUUUUUUUUUUAAUCAAAUGUCUAUUGUCAGUGAUGAAUGUAUUUAUUUCUGGGCCUGCCCUCACCUUUUUCAAAGAAUUUGCUCAGUGUGUGAGACUGAGGUGGAGGCAGGACCCCCCCCCCCCCCCCCUUUUUUUUUUUUUUUGUUUUGUUUUGUUUUUUUGUUUUGAGGAUUUCAAGCUGAGAAUCAAAACUAAGACACAAGACAUAGCCAUUAACCACAAUCUGUGAAGCUGACCUUAUUUGUGGGAGAAUUGAAUUUCUUUUCUUUGUUUCGCUUCCUUUUUUUAUUUUUUAUUUUUUUUAACUCAAAAACAAAAUGGUCUAUGGCAUUAAUUAUCUGCUCUGUAAUACCUGACAGUCUGUAGGGUUUUUAGUUCAAGUAAGUCACUAUGGGUGUUUUAUUUUAUUUUUAUUACAUUUCUUUUGCCCAUUUGUUCUUGAGGUCUCACUGAAUGACUGCACACCAGUGGAAGUAAACCCUGUGUGUGCGUGUGUGUGUGUGUGUGUGUGUGUGUGUGUGUGUGUGUGUGUGUUUCUGUGGACACAGACAGGACGCUGUCCCUGCCUGUGCAGCGCAGAGGCUACUGUAUCUUUUCGAGCUUGCUUUCCCUGGGUGUUGCCAUCCUGCUGACAUUUUAUGUAUAUUUUAAACAAACAAACAAACAAACACACAGCAGAAAUGUGCACGUAACCCACAGAUCUCUCCUCUCAGCCGUCGUUUUCCUCUCAACCAUUGUUACAUUUCUUCUAUUAAACCACUUGCCGCUACUCCUUUUUUUUUUUUUUUUAAAUCUAACUACAUAAUGUUUUUAGUAUCUGUAAGUUUAACAUCAGAGGAUUUUUAGAAACGUUGAAUACGAUAGCUUUACUAAGUGCACUUUGUAUGUUUUUCAAGGUCUUUGGGAAAACCCAGAUGCUCUCCCAUCAGUUCCGAUUUAACUGACGGUUUAUUCUUUCUUUCUCUUCUUACCUCAUCUAUGUUGCUGUGUUUGUUGAGCUACCAUAUCAAUAUGCAGUUGCUUUUGUUUAAAAAAAAAAAAAAAAAGCUUUAAAGUGACAUAUUCAAAGCGGGAAACUCACCAGAGAGACCGUACUUGGCUUUAAACUUCCAAGUUUCCAUCUCAUUUUUCGUCGUCAUUAACUUCUGCCAUCCUCUCCAGGCAUUUUCUCUAGUAGAGGGGCUGGUCUGUCUAGAUAUUAUGGAGAUUCUUCUUCUUACCUUGACAGACUUAACCAAAGCCACUUUUAAAAUGGCCUCCAGUGCCAUUAAACCCUGUUUAUUAGCUUUAUUGUCCCUUGCUUUAUCUCACACGCACACGAGACCCUGGCUUUAGCCUGUUGACCCUGUGUUAUUUCGGUUACCACACAGUGGACUUUAUCUCGCUCCUUGCUGAAUUUUUCAGUAUUUACUGUACUUUCUGUGACUAAUAAACUGAACACACCAAAUUACCUCAAAGCUUGUGUUUACAGAAAUGCACUCUCUUGCCAUUACCUUUAGACUUCUUGUUUUUCUGCCGUCCUUCUGUAACAAGAAUAUCCUGUUUUUGAAGUAAAGUUUCCAGCAGCGUAUUUUCAUCCAUAACUGUUAAUUUAUGUUUAUUAAUUUUUAAAGGCACAUUGUCACCUUCAUGUGCACUACAUUAAUGGAAAGACAUAAUUAGCUGCUAAGAAAUACUGAAGAGUCGAUUAGUGGAGUUGCCCAUAAAGCGGGCGUAUUGACCCUUUCUCUUAGGUUUUCUUCGGGAACAGCCUCUCAAUAAUGGAUCAGGAUCCAUGGCCUGAGAGGCUCGCGACUGGACAUGUAGGGACUUUGGUCAUAAAUAAUUAAAGGGCAAGAAGGCCUCCCCCUUGGCAAACACACUUCACAUGCAAAAGUGUAUAUGCCCAGGUACACUUCAGCAAGCAUGUGCAUAAACCUUCACCAAUGUAAACACACGUUCUACCGUCUGGACUUCUAACAUGCUCAUACACUAGUGUUUAACGUGAGAUUCUCUCACCUUUUGUGGCUUUUGGCAGCACCCAGGCUGGGCUCUCUUUCUCUCUGUCUUUAUCUCCACUCCUCAGAGAGCUCUUAUUCAGGUCAGAGCCACAACCGUGUGCAGCGGCGUGGCUCGCAAACUCAAAGUGUCAUAAAGUGUAAUACAGCUGACCUCAGCACUCAUAACCUUGCAGUCUUAAUGUACAGCAGUGAGGAAAAAUAAACUGUUAUUUUAUGAUCUUUUCAUUAAAAGCUUGAUUGAAAACCAAGA